CAAUAGCGUAUAUUAAAGUUGUUGCAGUUAAAAAGCUUGUAGUUGGAUUUGUGGUUCGUCCCGCCGGCUGGGUCAUUGACUUUUGCUGUGCUGGUCGUCCAUCCUUGGGUGGAAUCUGUGUGGCAUUAGGUUGUCGCGCAGGGGAUGCCCAUCGUUUACUGUGAAAAAAUUAGAGUGUUCAAAGCAGGCUUAUGCCGUUGAAUAUAUUAGCAUGGAAUAAUGAUAUAGGACCUUGGUACUAUUUUGUUGGUUUGCGCACUGAGGUAAUGAUUAAUAGGGACAGUUGGGGGUAUUCGUAUUCCAUUGUAAGAGGUGAAAUUCUUGGAUUUUUGGAAGACGAACUACUGCGAAAGCAUUUACCAAGGAUGUUUUCAUUAA
RNAcentral lists this ribosomal RNA (378 nucleotides) under uncultured eukaryote. RNAcentral's name for it is "partial 18S ribosomal RNA". It matches the Rfam family "Eukaryotic small subunit ribosomal RNA", at positions 592 to 976 of the family's 1831-position model. The record is from RNAcentral.